This 86-nucleotide non-coding RNA is filed under the name Luteibacter rhizovicinus. The record is from RNAcentral. Lineage: Bacteria; Pseudomonadati; Pseudomonadota; Gammaproteobacteria; Lysobacterales; Rhodanobacteraceae.
AUUUAUGGCGGGCGUGCCGGGCGGACUUCGGUCCGGCCGGGAUCCAACGGCACCGGUAUUUGCACCCUGGCACGCCCGCCACCCGC